GCAGCUUGCCCAUGGGGUCGUGGGUCGCGAAGUAGUGCGCCGGGAAGUAGGUCGGCGCCGCCGACGUGCUGAUGCAGAUGUCCGAGAGGUGCGCGUUCUUGAGCGGGUCCACCUUGGCCUCGUACGUGUUGAAGAUGACCGGCUGCAGGUACUUGAUGUCGAACGUCGGGACUAUGAUGUUGGUGACGGUGUCGGCGACCGUCACGUCGUUGGUGAGGCUCUUGAUCUUGUCGUGCAGGAACUUACCGUCGUACUUGGGACCCUUCACCGCGCCGAACAGGUUCGCUAUCGGGGUCAGGAACCCCAACCUGUGUACGUACGUGAAGCAACGCUGGCGUCAACACGACGGUAUUGCCGGAAGGAGAGAAGAGAAGGGACACCGUGCGUGCGUGCGUGCGUGCGUGCGUACGUACCUCCUCUGCGGGAAGAUCUUGGGCCCGUUCUCAAG
This 448-nucleotide long non-coding RNA is filed under the name Hordeum vulgare. RNAcentral describes it as "long non-coding RNA (HVUL_LNC018018)". The record is from RNAcentral. Lineage: Eukaryota; Viridiplantae; Streptophyta; Magnoliopsida; Poales; Poaceae.